Molecule: long non-coding RNA, 1030 nt
Organism: Pogonomyrmex barbatus (red harvester ant)
Lineage: Eukaryota; Metazoa; Arthropoda; Insecta; Hymenoptera; Formicidae
Gene: Dp1
Source: RefSeq, a predicted model, not a curated record
CAUACCUAAUUAUCAUUUAAUAUCUAUUUCAAAUUUCGAUAUCGAAAAGAUUACAUGUAUAUAUGAGACGAAACCCGUCAAUUUACUUUAGUUCCGCACUCCACCACCAGAUGGCAGUGCCUCAUCUUUUGUUGCCCAUCUUAUAUACAGAGCUUUCAUUUCUCUUAGUAUAUGUUCUGUGGUCUGGUAAUUCGCGACCACGACAUUGGUAUCUCGUCGUGACGUAGCCUAUUCUCCAGAACGUGGUGAUUUUCGGCCGCUCGAGGCUCCUCCGUCUCAUUUCACUUUGCGUUACCGGCAAAUCACCGUUAAACCUGGCUACGUAAUACGUGUUUAUUACUUGGCCGGAUUUCUUUAUUACGGUAGAGUAAGUAGCAACUUCAAACUGCUGUCUCGCUGUCCGUGCUGUUAUGCGUGAAAGCGUGCGUGUCUAACUUUCAUCCUUCCUUCCUUCCUUCCUCGUGGCCUCAUCGAGGUCGUUCUCGCCUCGUACCGUACUUCUCUCGCCGUUUCGCGUUUCCAUCUGUGCUCUUCUUCUUUCCCGUCGCGACAACGUGCGGAUGUUGGUCCCCGACGCGAGAGGUUAGCGAUCUCGUGACGUGUCAAGUUAACGCUCCAUUCCAUAUGGUGGUCGCUGUCUCAGCCAUUGGUCAUUGACGUGCAUCUAGCGUAUAUCUGUUUGCCGAUCCCUUGGCCGCGACAUUCGCUCGAGCCACGAAAUUCCGUCGGCUUCGGGGAAAAAACAUUUCCACCAGCUACGAAUUCCUCGCGGCGUGACUCGUGUGUGAUUCGUCCCUUUUCGCGACAUUUGAGAUCACUUUAAAAGAAUUUGUUCCGUGUACGAGUCAAAUGAAAAAAAAAUUAAAAAAAAUUUAUUGCGAAAUCCUAUCUCGAUUUGAUCAAUCUCUUAAAAAAAUAUUCGAACGCAUCUCCUCGCGAUUAUACGCGAUUAUCUGAGAAAAGCUAUAUUUGAUAUAACUUGGCGACGUCUCGUCAGUGAUAAUUUAUCGUUUUCUUGUUCAUCGCAAAA